Molecule: ribosomal RNA, 301 nt
Filed under: uncultured bacterium
Lineage: Bacteria
Description: partial 16S ribosomal RNA
Rfam family: Bacterial small subunit ribosomal RNA
Source: RNAcentral
CAGCAGCCGCGGGAAUACCGAGGGUGCGAGCGUUAAUCGGAUUUACUGGGCGUAAAGCGUGCGUAGGCGGCUAAUUGAGUCGGAUGUGAAAUCCCCGAGCUUAACUUGGGAAUUGCAUUCGAUACUGGUUAGCUAGAGUGUGGGAGAGGAUGGUAGAAUUCCAGGUGUAGCGGUGAAAUGCGUAGAGAUCUGGAGGAAUACCGAUGGCGAAGGCAGCCAUCUGGCCUAACACUGACGCUGAGGUACGAAAGCAUGGGGAGCAAACAGGAUUAGAUACCCGCGUAGUCCCUGUCUCUUAUAC